Long non-coding RNA from Mangifera indica (mango), 551 nucleotides. RefSeq lists it as uncharacterized. The record is from RefSeq and is a predicted model, not a curated record. The transcript has 3 exons. NCBI's taxonomy places the organism in Eukaryota, Viridiplantae, Streptophyta, Magnoliopsida, Sapindales, Anacardiaceae.
AUAGAUUGGCUUCAGAAAGACUUGGGUUUUCAUCUUCAAACUCACUCCCUCCACACAAACCAAAAGCAUUGCAUUUGCACCAACCACUUAGAAAACCAAAAGCAUCAGAUGGCGCCGCCUCCUGGUCCCUACUCCGGCACCAGCACCCUCGCCUUGGUGGCUCGUGUUUCGGCUUUCUCAUUUGGGCUUGUUUAUGGCAACAUGAAGCUCAAGUACCUCAAGGCAAAAGCAAGAUCACACAAGAAAGCUGAAGCAAAGGCCCAUCAUUGAAGAUGGUGAUGGGAUCUGUUUCAACUUGGGUAAACAUUUUGAGUUGAGUAUAGAAAUAAUUGUUAAUGAAAGCAGCGGUGUUUCAUCUUUGGCUAAUGGUUUUACAGACCUUGCUGGGUGCUUUAGUCAAAUUGUUUUAGAGUUAAUCUUUUAAGAAACUUCACUUGAUUGGGUUCUACAAUUUUUAUGGAGUAUUUGCCUUCCCUUUGGUAACAAUGUACUGUUGAAUGAUUAUCAUCCUCUGUUUAAAAUAAUAAACCUCUGUUACUUUUAGGUCCCCA